RNAcentral lists this ribosomal RNA (283 nucleotides) under uncultured bacterium. RNAcentral's name for it is "partial 16S ribosomal RNA". It matches the Rfam family "Bacterial small subunit ribosomal RNA", at positions 337 to 637 of the family's 1533-position model. The record is from RNAcentral.
GCCUACGGGGCGCAGCAGUGGGGAAUAUUGCACAAUGGGCGAAAGCCUGAUGCAGCGACGCCGCGUGAAGGAUGAAGUAUUUCGGUAUGUAAACUUCUAUCAGCAGGGAAGAAAAUGACGGUACCUGACUAAGAAGCCCCGGCUAACUACGUGCCAGCAGCCGCGGUAAUACGUAGGGGGCAAGCGUUAUCCGGAUUUACUGGGUGUAAAGGGAGCGUAGACGGCGAUGCAAGCCAGAUGUGAAAGCCCGGGGCUCAACCCCGGGACUGCAUUUGGAACUGUG